Molecule: long non-coding RNA, 654 nt
Organism: Homo sapiens (human)
Lineage: Eukaryota; Metazoa; Chordata; Mammalia; Primates; Hominidae
Exons: 2
Source: RefSeq, a predicted model, not a curated record
AGCAUCACUUCUACAUUCCUCAGUUUAAAAUCAUGUAAUAUCUUGAGCAGUAAAACUAGAAAGAGAUUUUUUCCUAAUAGGUGAAAUUUAGCUGUCUUUCGGACAGUGGAUAUGGAAAUAUCAUUUAUGAUUAUUUCAGAUGGGAGAUAUUCUUGGUCCUGGUGAAUUCCAUAGCAGGAAUUUAAAACAGGACUCUUUGUUGUGUCUGCUUGGAUCACUUACAGCCCUUGGUACCUGCCUCUUUGGAAGGCACCUCCGGUCACAUCAGGAGCAUGGAUGGGGCCCCACCUGCAUACACAUGGAGAUGGACUCAUCCUCCAGCUACUUUGGAUACCGUGGCUCCCAUUUUUCUACUUUCUCUGAAGGAUUGAAGCCACCUUGCCCAGAAGUCACUGGGAGUUAUGCCUCCUCCCUAAGGAUGGCCCACAGCCAGUGCCUCAUUGGAGCAAGAGGUACAGAAGCCCUGCUCCCUCAUCUGAAGAUGGGGCAGGCUCCGCAGUGCAAUCCAUGCACCCGAGCUCCCAUGGCAUCAGACUGACAUUGCUGGAAGCCACAGUCUUCCUCAGCUUCUCCUUCCCUGUCCUGCUUCCCUCACUCCCUUAUGGUUUUCUCCUGAGGGCACUCCCUUAAUAAAUCACUUGCGUCAAGAAUCCA